This 156-nucleotide non-coding RNA is filed under the name bovine gut metagenome. The record is from RNAcentral.
AUGGCGUUUUCCGCAUCGGCGGAUUCAUAGGGAAUCGGGUGAAAAUCCCGGACAGUCCCGCUGCUGUAACUCUUGUUAACGGUGUGCCAUGGAAGCCACUGCCUAUUAUGGUGGGAAGGCGGCAUAACCGGAGAGAAGUCAGAAGACCUGGCGCAU